This 484-nucleotide ribosomal RNA is filed under the name uncultured bacterium. RNAcentral describes it as "partial 16S ribosomal RNA". It matches the Rfam family "Bacterial small subunit ribosomal RNA", at positions 30 to 507 of the family's 1533-position model. The record is from RNAcentral.
AUUGAACGCUAGCGGGAUGCUUUACACAUGCAAGUCGAACGGCAGCGCGGACUUCGGUCUGGCGGCGAGUGGCGAACGGGUGAGUAAUGUAUCGGAACGUGCCCAGUAGCGGGGGAUAACUACGCGAAAGCGUAGCUAAUACCGCAUACGCCCUACGGGGGAAAGCAGGGGAUCGUAAGACCUUGCACUAUUGGAGCGGCCGAUAUCGGAUUAGCUAGGUGGUGAGGUAACGGCUCACCAAGGCGACGAUCCGUAGCUGGUUUGAGAGGACGACCAGCCACACUGGGACUGAGACACGGCCCAGACUCCUACGGGAGGCAGCAGUGGGGAAUUUUGGACAAUGGGGGCAACCCUGAUCCAGCCAUCCCGCGUGUGCGAUGAAGGCCUUCGGGUUGUAAAGCACUUUUGGCAGGAAAGAAACGUCGCGGGCUAAUACCCCGUGGAACUGACGGUACCUGCAGAAUAAGCACCGGCUAACUACGUG